AUUCAUCACUCAUCUUUCCUGCUCCAUCGUGUUGUGCUCUGUGAAGAUUCUUUUUCUCCAUUUUUGUUGAACUAGGUUUUGAUUUUCUCUUUGUUAGCAGAAAUUGGGGCAAUCGAAGAUUCUAGAAUCUCGAUCGUGGUUUUCUCCAGAAGCUAUGGAGAUUCGACGUGGUGGUUGAAGGAAUUGGAGAAGAUAAUGAAGUGUGGGAGCAGCAAGGGUCAGAAGGUUAUGCUGGUGUUCUACGGUGUUAAUCCGUCGGAAGCUGGGAUGGCGUUCGCAUACGGGAACCGCUCAAGGAAGCUGCUUGUCUUUCGAGUUUUGUUACAUAUAUCAGUAGGAUGCUACAGAGUAUAAAAGAAGGGUCAGGCAGUAGGCAAAGCAAUAGCCACCAAUAAUCUAGUGAUACCACAACUCACCUUAGGAACUAUUUUUGCAUCAUAUAUGCUCUCAUGCACUAUAGCUUGAAACUGUUCUGUCAUCUAUGAUUGUUGGCUAUAAUAUUUUGCAUACACUAUGGUAUUUCCUAUAUAUGUUUACUUUUCGAUUUGGAUUAAGUGUUAAUAUAUAAACAAUGUGGAAACAACAAAAGAAGACAUGUUGGUGGCAUGUGCCUGAUGUUUGCUGAUGCAUUUCUAUAUGAAUCAAUAACAGUUCGGGUGAAUGAAUUGCAUGUGUCUCCUUUGAUUUCUUUGUUAUUCGAUUUUUUUAGGUGAAUGAAUUGCAUACACAAUGAGAAUAAUAUAUUUUCUUUUUUUAUUUCCUUGACUCUUUUUACUUUAUAGUAAAAAAUUAAUUUGCAUAUAGACAAUUACUUGAGAAGGAAAAAUGCACAAUAUAAAAGCAUAUAGAUAUCCACUACUAGUUAUCCCAAAAGUACUAUUUUUAAGAAAUUUACAUUGGUAGUAUUUCAUGCCUUUGCAACUAGUAUUAUGUAUAAGAACAAAACUGAAGUUAAUUGUGAAUGUUGUCUUUGGUUGAGAUUGAUAUUGCUACCAACCGCUUAAUAAAAUCUGAUGAUAAUGUGUUGGUUAGUUUAGGUUGCUUAAGUGAUUGGACUUUCCAGAAAUGAAGUUUAGCUUAUACUUAUGGGUUAUGAGGUAUGUGAAAUGCUAUUUUUCUGCACCUCUUUACUACUAAAAAUUUGAUUGCAUACUUGCAAGAAAUGAAAUAGCACACUGGAUUUGCAAAUAUGCAUUUAGUUAUUAUAUUCAUGGAUAUGUUCCUGAUCUUAUUUUAUAUCUUGUUUAGAAUACGGUAGAAGCUCCUGGUAAUCCAGAGAUUUUGCAAAAAAAAUUAGCCUUUAUUUUACACAAAUAAUUUUAUAUAAUUUUUUUUAUUUUCUCUAUAUGAUCAUCAGUUGUAGUUGGAGUGGUUGAUGGCAUUGAUGUCAUCACCUCCUUCUGUCUUUUCCCCUACUGAAAGGAGAAAUUAUUAGUUCACAUGGUGGCAUAGUGGGGUUAGGAUUGUUUUCUUAGGACUCUUACCCUCGGCUUCAAUUAUAUAAAUAUCAUGCGCCCCUCGUUUUCCUUAAUGGGGAAAAGUUCCUCUCAUCCCCUUUCCUAAUUUUAAUUUGCUUCCCUAACUUCAUACUCUCUAGUAAUAAUUUAAGGCCUAUAUACAAAAUCUAUAUCAUGCUAUAUGCUAUAUUUAAUUUCAUACUUAUUUUUUAAACUCACGUGUUUCCUAGAAGUAAACUUUAAGUUCUUCUAAAAUCGUAGGUCUACCAUAUGUAUGGCAAACCUUGCUGGUAUAUAUUGAAUAUUGAUCAAUUAAUUAUUGUUCUUAAAAUAAUCACUAUAUUUUAACUAUAGUUUCUUAAUAAUCUUUAAUUUUGCAAUACUUUUUUUUUGCAAAAAAGUAAUUUUAUACUAUUAAAUAUAAUUUUAUACAAUUAAUAUUUAAUAAUAACUAAUUAAUGAUUAUAAAUUAUAAAAUUGUUGGUUUUUUAGUAAUCCGCGUUUUAUAUAUUUUGAUGAUGACGACACAUAUGCUAUGCACGCGUCUGCAAGCCUUAAAAUGCUACUUUGCUCAUUAAGUCAAUAAUAUUAAUAUACUCUCCGCCCAAAUAUCAUAGCUCGGUCAAAGCCUAGCUAUACCCAAGUUAGCUAUACAAAAAUUCUAAGCUAUAUAAUGUCUAGUACACGCGUUGAUUAUGAUGAUGAUUAACUUCUCUCAUUAACUUGGGUGAAACAACUUACUAUGUGUAAUUAUAUAUACAUACUUUUCUUACUGAAAUAAUUAAACAAUUGUCACAUGCGAGGGAAAUGUAAAAAUUAAAGCAGCCAGAUAGUGAAUGCCUAUUUUCGAAUAUCUUGUAAAAAUGUUGUUAAACGUUGAAAAAGCAUAACACAGGUAGCACUUGUUAUUUUUGUAUUCUAUGAAAGAAUUAGUGAUAAUAGAAGAUCUAAUUUCUUUGGUUUCUAGGCUUUUGAUAAAGUAUUAUUAAGUUUUGUGAUAAUAGAAGAUCUGUUGAUUUCAUAUGUGCUACUCCAGCUUCAUCAAGAUUUGCCAAUAAUAACAAUAAUAAUGAUGCACUAGUUCCAGCAAUUAAGAAUAUCAAUAGGCCUAGCAUGGUGGUGAAUGUGAAGGUCUUGAAGAAGCUAUUCUCUGUUAACAACUAUCAAAAGAAACCAAGAAGGAGAGUAAGAUAAUUAUCCUUUUCCUAUGGUGAUUUAUGUGGUGAUUUAUGUCAAUCAGGUAUAAAAUUGAUCUUUUAUUCAGGUAUAAAAUUAGAAAGGCUUUUAUUAGUCUUUGGUGAGGGGAUUAAUCCAUAUCACUAGAAAGCUAUGCCUCUUCAAAUGAAAUGUAAAGAUAAAAGAGUAUUUGGAUAUGUAAGUUGGUCGCUUAAUCUUAGUUGUUAUAGAAGCGUUCUGUGGAUUUCAGAGUAUGCUAAGCUUUACUUUUAACCAUCAUGUCUACUCACUGGCAUAUAUCUCCACUGUCCAAGUUCAUGAGGUUAAGGAUAUCAUGAAAGACAGGUUUUAAACAUGACAUUGUUUUAUAAUUCACUAUGCUCAAGAAGCGCAAACUGAUGGUGAUCCUGAACUUCUGGAUGAUUCUGAAUUUUAUCAGCAAUUACUGAAAGAAUGUUUUGAGAUAGUUGAUCCUAAUUCAUUUGGUAAAACAUUGUGGCUGAAAAUCUUCACAUAUAGCUCUUUUUUCGGCCAGUGUUUUUAAUUUCCUAGCGGAAUAUUAUGCCCUUAAACUCUGUUCUUUAAUAGUCCAUGUCAAAUACCUCAUUUUCUGUUAUUUCACUUUUAUAGAGACAGCAUUUUAUGCGUUGAAGAGAAUGCAAAAAAAGAAACAAAAAAUUGUUGAUCGCUGUGC
Molecule: non-coding RNA, 3327 nt
Organism: Arachis ipaensis
Lineage: Eukaryota; Viridiplantae; Streptophyta; Magnoliopsida; Fabales; Fabaceae
Source: RefSeq, a predicted model, not a curated record